Molecule: ribosomal RNA, 245 nt
Filed under: uncultured bacterium
Lineage: Bacteria
Description: partial 16S ribosomal RNA
Rfam family: Bacterial small subunit ribosomal RNA
Source: RNAcentral
CGUAGGUCCCGAGCGUUAUCCGGAUUUAUUGGGCGUAAAGCGAGCGCAGGCGGUUAGAUAAGUCUGAAGUUAAAGGCUGUGGCUUAACCAUAGUACGCUUUGGAAACUGUUUAACUUGAGUGCAGAAGGGGAGAGUGGAAUUCCAUGUGUAGCGGUGAAAUGCGUAGAUAUAUGGAGGAACACCGGUGGCGAAAGCGGCUCUCUGGUCUGUAACUGACGCUGAGGCUCGAAAGCGUGGGGAGCAA